Molecule: long non-coding RNA, 3471 nt
Filed under: Mus musculus (house mouse)
Lineage: Eukaryota; Metazoa; Chordata; Mammalia; Rodentia; Muridae
Description: long non-coding RNA chr5:71748247-71751718
Source: RNAcentral
AUUUAAGUUAGUGGGUGAUACUGGCCUAUGUUUUAACUGUACAUUUUAGACCUCUGCUUUCUGAAGACUUCAUUACACGUGUAUAGUAACACAUAUCACAUGUUACUAUGAGGUAGGCAAAUAUUCCCUGAGUUUCUUUUAAGCCACUCCAACUUCCAGCUUUCCUUAUGCUCUGUUGUACAAAAGAAAUAUAAAUACAAAAAUUAUAUUUACAGUUUUAUAAGAUAUUAGCACAAAGUCAACCAUUACAUAACACAUUCAACAUUCUCAUUGAUUAUAAUAACAGCACAAUGAAUAUGCAUCAAAAUGUUCACAUUGAAGACCUGGAAUUAGAAUAUCAAUCAAGCAAAACUAAUCCAUAAUUAAAGUGGGAUCAUCCCAUAGGAGAAGCCCCUUGAGUUUUGGUCAGGUGCACCAAUGUUUGUCAAUGCAGUUCUUUCCCAUUGCCUCUUACCCAUCCCUUUCCUACAACUCCCUGUCUCCUUGUUCCACAUUAGUGCCCAUUAAUCGAUCUUGCUUCUCUUUUGGAAUUAUAUUUUAUACUCCGGGAACCUUGAAUGUGUUAAUAAUUAUCACCUCUGUUUAUGCCUACCUCUUCUACUUCAAAUUGUUCUGUACUUUGCCUUGGCCUCAAUUAGUCAGAUAUUAUUUUUGAAUCAGAAAUAUCUUGUGAUGUGAAAAGAUCUGCACUACUAGCUACCAGCUUUAGGAUCCUAGGUAGUUUGUUUUUCUCCUAAAUCAAGACCUUAGGUAUACAUUUUAUAGGAAUAAAGAUACCUUUAAAAGAAAUCUAAAAAAAAAAAAAUCAGCCUGCUUGUUUGACACUAAAACUGAUCACUUUUUAAUGAAAAAGAAUUCUCAGAGUAAGUCAUCAAUAUGGAUGCAGAGUAGCUAUGGUUUCUUUCAUGGAGGAUAAAUUAAAUUGAACAUCUCAAGGACAAACAUCAAUAAGAGCUGAAAUAAACAGAAUGUGUUGAGAUGAAAUGUCACUCCAUUUAUAUUUCAAACUCCUGUGCAAAUGCUUCUGCCAAUAUGUGCUCCGGGCUUCGAAAAGUAAACAUAAAAGUUAUUUAUUGUCUUCUAAGCCACUGAAUGGUAAUCGUUAUAACUUAUCAUGAUAAAUUGGUUAAAACUGAUUAUUGCCCAUCCUUACAAGUUCCCCCAAACUAAACUUAUACAUACCUGGGUUUUAAUGAAAUGAUUAAAGGUACAGAAAUACUGUCAGCGUUCAAUGUCUACCUCUCUCUCCUGCAUGAAAUAGCAGUGGGCUAUUUCUCUGAAAUCUGAGAGCGCUGAAGAAUCAACUCUAGCAACUAGAGAAACCGCUUCUAGUGUCUACUGGUGCUGAGAAAAUGGCAUCUUACAGCGGUCGGUGAGAUUUCCUGUGUUUAUGGGACUAAGCAGUUGGUUUUGAAUUUCUCAUCUCUGAGAGCUCAUCUCUGCUCCAUGCCCGGGGUUAUUUAGAAUGAAACAGGAAGACCCUAUCAUCUUCCCUAGCAGAGUGGGAAUACAAACACUUAAAUUAAAAAAGAAAUUUUAAGAACUUUCCAGCUAACUGUUUUUGGAUUACCCUGUGCACAUGGAACUUGGGUUAGAAAAACUUAUGUCUAGGUCUCUACUUAUCCUUUUCAAUUCUGGGACCAUCUCCUGUCACCCCAGUGGUCUUUAAUCUCCACACGGUGGUGAUGCAAAGUCCCAAGAGGACAUUUCAAAAGCAAAAGCAUCUCUCUUGGGAGCCAUUGGGUUGCAGGUGCCAUAGGGCAUCAGGAGCGCCCGUUUGCUCUUUCCUACAGCUUUCUCUAAUACAUCACAUGGCUUUGCUUAAGACAUUAGCUUGCAUUCAGUUUCAUCUCUAAAACAAGAUGAGGCAGUUUGUUCUUUAUGAACUCCUCGGUUCCAUUUAGUUCAACAAUUUUGACUUAAUUGCUGAAUUUACACACACAAAGGUGCCUCAAAUUGGCAGUGUGGCAAUGCAGUACAUAUAUUUGAAACACUGACCAUUUAAUGAAAAAAAAAAUGAAGUGCAUAUGUUAAUCUCCUUUAGAUUCUAUGACUUUUGUUCAUAUUUUAAUCUACACAUUUUUGUUGCUUUCAAAAGAAGUGAAAAUGGGAUUUGAAAGUCAACUAAAACCACUUUGUAUCCAGACAGCCUUUAAUCUUUAAAAUCAAUUCACAGGUUGCCUAUGACAAUAGAAGUAUUGUUUGUAUUAGCAUUUGAUGCAGGGAAUGAAAGGAAAUAUCGAAUUAGCACAAACACAAAGUUUAGAAUUCCAGGCUUUUUGCAAAAGAAAAAAACCAAUCACUUAUCAGCAGAUCUGCUUUUCAGGCAAGGAAAUGCAUAUCAACUUUUUAGCUUUUAUUACUUCAUGACAAAACAGUAUACAACUUAAGAUAGUAGGACAAUAAGAUACUGAACAUUUAUUUCUCCCCAUUUUCUGUCCAGAAUCUAGCAUUUCUCUCAUUAAUAUCAUCAGGAGUGCAUCCUGUUGCCCUCCUCUGGACAGAGUUAUUCACUAUUUUUAAUUCUGGCACCACCCCCUGUCACUUCAGUGGUCUCUAAUCUCCAUACUGUGGUAAUGCAAAGUCCCAAGAGGACAGAAGCUGCUAACCUUCACUUUGUCAUUAUUACCUAAUCAGAGCCACAUCUGCCUGCUUAGAGGCAGGUCAGAAAGCUCUGCCUGCAGUAAGAGAUUACAGGAAGAGACCCCACCUGUUGAUGAUGGAUAUAAGAGAGCUGCACUGCAAAGUAGCAGGACCUUGGGAAGAGUGGGCAAUUAUAGCAAUUUGCCAUACCAACGGGGCCUUUGCAUACUGACCACUUGCAGAAAACAUCUAUCUUCAUUGUCUCAGCAUCUCUGUGUUUAAAUACUAUGUAAAAGGAAAGAAGUCUUAAUAACUAAACUCCAUAUUCAGAGCAGAUGGGAGACUUGUAAGGUCACUAGUUCUGGUUUAUUGUAGCAGCUAUGAAACUAUUGUUUGUGUUUUUGUUUUUGUUUUUUAACAAAAUCUCAACUGUUCAAUUUCACUAAUGAAGACUGGGGACCAAAAAGCCUGGGAAAAAUCUUGAUAGCUCAGAGUGGCAGAGAAAGUGCCCAGAUGACCUUCUUCCACAGCAGAACAUCCCGAAAUGAAGUUCUCCUUCACACCAUCUCAAAUACCCUUCAGACUGAGUGUUCCUCCCUUCUACUCCCUGUGCCUCUCUCUGUCCAUCCUCCUGACUCUCAAUUUUUUUUCCUAUGUUCACUCCCUGUAAAUUGGUUGUUUGUUACACAUCUUGGCCUAUGGUUGACUUUAUUUAAUCAUAUUUAUAAUAAACAGAAAGCUCUGGGGUUAAAGGUACGUCCUGGGAUAUGAUCAACAGACUCACACACCUGCUGCUAUGCAUUCCUCACUGUCUUGGAAUUCCCCUUACACUGUGAGGGGAAACUAGGAAAUGGGAUGACAUUUUAAAUGUAAAUAAAUAAAAUAUCU